RNAcentral lists this ribosomal RNA (263 nucleotides) under uncultured bacterium. RNAcentral describes it as "partial small subunit ribosomal RNA". It matches the Rfam family "Bacterial small subunit ribosomal RNA", at positions 26 to 290 of the family's 1533-position model. The record is from RNAcentral.
AGGACGAACGCUGGCGGCGUGCUUAACACAUGCAAGUCGAGCGGUGAUCCUCCUUCGGGAGGUGAUCAGCGGCGAACGGGUGAGUAACACGUGGGCAACCUGCCCCUCACACUGGGAUAACCUCGGGAAACCGGGGCUAAUACCGGAUACGACCUCGAGCGGCAUCUCUUGAGGUGGAAAGCUCCGACGGUGAGGGGAUGGGCCCGCGGCCUAUCAGCUUGUUGGUGGGGUAAUGGCCUACCAAGGCGACGACGGGUAGCCGG